GAUGAACGCUGGCGGCGUGCCUAAUACAUGCACGUCGAGCGAACAGACGAGGAGCUUUCUCCUCUGACGUUAGCGGCGGACGGGUGAGUAACACGUGGAUAACCUACCUAUAAAACUGGGAUAAAUUCGGGAAACCGGAGCUAAUACCGGAUAAUAUAUUGAACCGCAUGGUUCACUAUUGAAAGACGGUUUUGCUGUCACUUAUAGAUGGAUCCGCGCCGCAUUAGAUAGUUGGUAAGGUAACUGCUUAACAAGGCAACGAUGCGUAGCCGACCUGAAAGGGUGAUCGGCCACACUGGGACUGAGACACGGUCCAGACUCCUACGGGAGGCAGCAGUAGGGGAUCUUCCGCAAUGGGCGAAAGCCUGACGGAGCAACGACGCGUGAAUGAUGAAGGUCUUCGGAUCGUAAAACUCUGUUAUUAGGGAAGAACAAAUGUGUAAGUAACUAUGCACGUCUUGACGGUACCUAAUCAGAAAGCCACGGCUAACUACGUG
Molecule: ribosomal RNA, 497 nt
Filed under: uncultured bacterium
Lineage: Bacteria
Description: partial 16S ribosomal RNA
Rfam family: Bacterial small subunit ribosomal RNA
Source: RNAcentral